Molecule: ribosomal RNA, 253 nt
Filed under: uncultured bacterium
Lineage: Bacteria
Description: partial 16S ribosomal RNA
Rfam family: Bacterial small subunit ribosomal RNA
Source: RNAcentral
UACGUAGGUGGCAAGCGUUGUCCGGAUUUACUGGGCGUAAAGGGCGUGCAGGCGGUCUGUUAAGUCUAGGGUGAAAGCUCCCGGCUCAACUGGGAGAGGUCCUUGGAUACUGGCGGACUUGAGGGAGGUAGAGGAAAGUGGAAUUCCCGGUGUAGUGGUGAUAUGCGUAGAUAUCGGGAGGAACACCAGUGGCGAAGGCGGCUUUCUGGGCCUUACCUGACGCUGAGACGCGAAAGCGUGGGGAGCGAGCCGG